UACGAAGGGGGCUAGCGUUGCUCGGAAUCACUGGGCGUAAAGGGCGCGUAGGCGGCCGAUUAAGUCGGGGGUGAAAGCCUGUGGCUCAACCACAGAAUUGCCUUCGAUACUGGUUGGCUUGAGACCGGAAGAGGACAGCGGAACUGCGAGUGUAGAGGUGAAAUUCGUAGAUAUUCGCAAGAACACCAGUGGCGAAGGCGGCUCACUGGCCCGAUACUGACGCUGAGGCACGAAAGCGUGGGGAGCAAACAGG
Molecule: ribosomal RNA, 253 nt
Filed under: uncultured bacterium
Lineage: Bacteria
Description: partial 16S ribosomal RNA
Rfam family: Bacterial small subunit ribosomal RNA
Source: RNAcentral